AGAUAUGUUCGGAGAGCGAAGCGAACAGUAUAAUCAAAAGAAAGCUCAAAUAGA
RNAcentral lists this small RNA (54 nucleotides) under Pseudoleptotrichia goodfellowii F0264. Its description in RNAcentral is "Leptotrichia goodfellowii F0264 6A RNA". It matches the Rfam family "6A RNA". Rfam says of the family: Actinobacteria (1 example), Firmicutes, Fusobacteria. Terminator (Clostridia) The record is from Rfam by way of RNAcentral. Lineage: Bacteria; Fusobacteriati; Fusobacteriota; Fusobacteriia; Fusobacteriales; Leptotrichiaceae.